AGAGUUUGAUCAUGGCUCAGAACAAACGCUGGCGGCGUGCCUAACACAUGCAAGUCGAACAAGAAACUUCCCGCUUGCGGGAGGGAGUAAAGUGGCGCACGGGUGAGUAACGCGUGGGUAACCUACCUUUGAAUCUGGAAUAACCAGCCGAAAGGCUGACUAAUACCGGAUACGGUUUUGAGGACUUAGGUUCUCUAAAUUAAAGGUGACCUCUUCAUGAAAGUUGCCGUUCAUAGAUGGGCCCGCGUACCAUUAGCUAGUUGGUGGGGUAAUGGCCUACCAAGGCGACGAUGGUUAGCUGGUCUGAGAGGAUGAUCAGCCACACUGGAACUGGAACACGGUCCAGACUCCUACGGGAGGCAGCAGUGAGGAAUUUUGCGCAAUGGGGGAAACCCUGACGCAGCAACGCCGCGUGAGCGAAGAAGGCCCUCGGGGUCGUAAAGCUCUGUCAAGUGGGAAAAAAAUCUUUUAAUCAAUAGUUAAAAGACUUGAUGGACCCACUGGAGGAAGCACCGGCUAACUCCGUGCCAGCAGCCGCGGUAAUACGGAGGGUGCAAGCGUUGUUCGGAUUUACUGGGCGUAAAGAGCGGGUAGGCGGUUUAGCAAGUCAGAUGUAAAGCCCCUGGGCUUAACCCGGGAAGUGCAUUUGAAACUGCUUCACUAGAGUAUGGGAGAGGAGAUUGGAAUUCCUGGUGUAGAGGUGAAAUUCGUAGAUAUCAGGAGGAACACCCGUGGCGAAGGCGAUUCUCUGGACCAAUACUGACGCUGAGACGCGAAAGCGUGGGGAGCAAACAGGAUUAGAUACCCUGGUAGUCCACGCCGUAAACGAUGAGAACUAGGUGUAGUGGGUAUUGACCCCUGCUGUGCCGAAGUUAACGCAUUAAGUUCUCCGCCUGGGGAGUACGGCCGCAAGGCUAAAACUCAAAGGAAUUGACGGGGGCCCGCACAAGCGGUGGAGCAUGUGGUUUAAUUCGACGCAACGCGAAGAACCUUACCUGGGUUUGACACCCUCUGAUCGUCUGGGAAACCAGAUUUUUCCGGCUUUGUCGGAACAGAGUGACAGGUGCUGCAUGGCUGUCGUCAGCUCGUGUCGUGAGAUGUUGGGUUAAGUCCCGCAACGAGCGUAACCCUUGUCUUUAGUUGCCAUUAUUAAGUUAGGCACUCUAAAGAGACUGCCUCGGUUAACGGGGAGGAAGGUGGGGAUGACGUCAAGUCCUCAUGGCCUUUAUAUCCAGGGCUACACACGUGCUACAAUGGGCUGUACAAAGGGUUGCUAACCCGCGAGGGUACGCUAAUCCCAAAAAGCAGUUCUCAGUUCGGAUUGAAGUCUGCAACUCGACUUCAUGAAGGUGGAAUCGCUAGUAAUCGUGGAUCAGCAUGCCACGGUGAAUACGUUCCCGGGCCUUGUACACACCGCCCGUCACACCACGAAAGUCGACUGUACCAGAAGUUGCUGGGCUAACCUCUUCGGAGGAGGCAGGUACCUAAGGUACGGCCGGUAAUUGGGGUGAAGUCGUAACAAGGUA
RNAcentral lists this ribosomal RNA (1526 nucleotides) under uncultured delta proteobacterium. RNAcentral describes it as "bacterial SSU rRNA". It matches the Rfam family "Bacterial small subunit ribosomal RNA". The record is from RNAcentral. Lineage: Bacteria; Deltaproteobacteria.